UACGGGGGGAGCAAGCGUUGUUCGGAUUUACUGGGCGUAAAGGGCGCGUAGGCGGCCACCGCAAGUCGACUGUGAAAUCUCCGGGCUUAACCCGGAAAGGUCAGCCGAUACUGCGGGGCUAGAGUGCAGAAGGGGCAACUGGAAUUCUCGGUGGUAGCGGUGAAAUGCGUAGAUAUCGAGAGGAACACCUGCGGCGAAGGCGGGUUGCUGGGCUGACACGUGACGCUGGAGGCGCGAAAGCUAGGGGAGCGAACGGG
RNAcentral lists this ribosomal RNA (257 nucleotides) under uncultured bacterium. RNAcentral's name for it is "partial 16S ribosomal RNA". It matches the Rfam family "Bacterial small subunit ribosomal RNA", at positions 524 to 776 of the family's 1533-position model. The record is from RNAcentral.